UCAACUUAGCGCGGCUCAACAAAAUCCCCCCGAUGUUGAGUUCGAUCUCUGUUAACUGAAUUAUGGACUCGUACGCUCCAUUACUGGAGAAACUCCGGCUGCCGCAGCCGUCGCUUCAACGAUUCGCCGUCACUUCAAUAUUCUCCAAGCUGCGAGCUGCUCCGCAGCAUCUCAACUCCGAUUCCGGCCCAGGCAGAGAAGCCAUUUCUCAAUGCCUACUUCACUCAUCUCCCGCCGUAGUCGAUCAAUCAGUUCGAGAGCUCUGCCGCUUGGUCAAGGAAUCUUACAUCGACGUCUCUCGCGCUCUGAUGGAGCUUCAAGCUGCUCUCGAGGGAUCAGAAUCGCGGUUCGUUAACGUUUUCGUCAAGGGACUGGGCUUUCUCGUCCAAUUUGGAUUCCAGAAGCACAAUGGGUCGUGGCAGUUUGGCUCGGCGGAAACUCAUCCUUUUGUUAAGGUGUUGUCUUGUCGAGUUGAUGUUCAAGCCCAGCUCUUGCACCAAAUUCUACUGUUUAUGGUACAGAACAAGUCACUGGGAAUGGAAGCCGUUUGCGAAUUCUUAAGCCCAUUUGUGAAACAUUCAAUACUAAGAACACAGCUUUCAGACUCAUCGUCUUCGUUAUUUAUGCGAAAUUUGAUGUCAUCGAUUAUGUCGGUUUGCUGCUCAUUGCCACAGGAGGCAUUGCCUAUAUUUGAUUUGUUGAUUCAAAGCCUCAAAUAUGUCCCACGCAAGACUCUAGAAGAUUUCUGGAAUUUCAUACAUCUGGUGGAAUCUUUGGUGGAUGCUUGUACUGUGGUCUUAAGACUGUUGGUCACCAGUGGAUCGCAUCUCAUAAUGGAAGCUCAACAACGCAGCCUAGAACUGUUGGAUACAAUUUUCUCCUUGUAUGCAUGUCUGGACAGACAUGUUUGUGGCUUUGAGCGCAUUAUUGAACUAUCAACAUACUUGUUGUCCGUACAAAAGGACCUCAAGAUGCAAUAUGUUUCUAAGCUAUCUUCAGCCUUCCCAUCAUUAUUUACGAUUCUCCUAAAAUCAGAGCUUGAACACGAGCAAUUGUUAAUAUUGAAACUUCUUCUCUCCCUCCUGCAGUGGAAAGCUGAACAUGAAUAUGCUAACAGGGUAACAACACUUUUACCAAGUGAAGAACUUUUAUUCGUCUUUCCUGCCAUCAGUCUCAUGUCAUCUCCUUCAAAAUGUAUUAAAGGAGCAGCAACUGAAUUGCUUUCCAUAUUAGAAAAGCUGUUGGUGACACUAUUGGUGACAACAAAGGAUGAAGUUGAGAAGGAGAGGGCGUUUCACUUUUCAUUGAUUAGCACACCCGGGUCUAUUAUUGUUAAGCUUUUAGAAAAGCUAUGGUUCCAGGGCCUUUCUUCACAAUCCAGUGGGUUCUUUUUGGAUUUUGCUCUUUAUGGCCAGAGUAAUAGCAAAGAUGAUAAUGAUUUACCCAAAAUGUGUUGGACAUCUAAAUUAAGAGAGUACUCAUUAUGGAUUGUUGAUAGACGGAAAUCCCUCCUGCCCCUCACUCAAUUUGAGGAAUUAUUUGUUAGAGAAAUGCCCUUCCUAGUAAGUGCAAUCACUUCCAUUAUGGUGGUGCAUCAUUCAUUGGCGAGUGACGCUGUAGAGUUGCUAGCUGCUCUUGGAACCUUGGAUCCAAAAAUUGGAUUUCAGUUGUUUCUUUUAUUCCUUUUUUACUGCAAUAUAUUUUCAAGAAAAGAAGUCGAUCACCAGGAUAUGGUGCUUAAACUUUUGGCAUUGCUUCCAUGCCUUGCUUCUCAUAGUGCAAUGGUUCCUUUCAUAGUUGAAGCUAUUUCACCAAUGCUUCGCAAGGAUUCAAAUCCAGUCUUAUAUGCUACAGCAACGCGAUUGCUAUGUCAAAGCUGGGAAAAGAAUGAUCGUGUAUUUGGGAGUCUGCAAAGAGUCUUACUUCCCAAUGGAUUUUCUGACUUUGUUCAUGAGAGAGAGAUUUGUCUCAGUUUGGCUGCUUCAAUUCGAGAUGUUUGCAGAAAAGAUGCAGAUAGAGGAGUAGACCUUAUCUUGUCUGUUUCAGCAUGCAUUGAAAGCCCUGAUCCUAUCAAUCAAGCUCUUGGAUUUCAAGGCCUUGCACAUCUAUGUGAAGCUGAUGUCAUUGAUUUUUACACGGCAUGGGAUGUCAUUGCUGAGUAUCCACUGGACUAUUCUGCAAAUCCAGUUCUUGCAAAUAGCCUCUGCAAUCUUCUCAGAUGGGGUGCAAUUGAUGCUGAAGUCUAUCCAGAAGCUUCAAAAGACAUAAUAGGAAUUCUUUUCACUGUUGGGACAUCAACUUGUCCUUGUCAUGAUUUGCAGUGGACGAAGGCUAAGGCUUCUGCUUUUGACGCCUUGUCACAAUAUGAGGUAUCCCUUCUUGAGAGAAGUAUUGUAGAUUUUAAAGAAAGGAGCACGUCAGUCCUUUUUACGGAAAUAGAUGUGAACAUCCUCAGUGCGAUAAAAGGUCUUCUGGUCAAGAUUAUAUCUCAUGAGCACAGUAACCGGAGACGACUUGUAAAGGAGAAGAGAGUUGCUGGAAGUAAGAUUGAGAAACUACUAGACGUCUAUCCUCGUCUUGUUUUUUCUUCAGGGAACAGUACUGUUAGGGAACUGCCUGCUGCUGCACUUCUGUGUCUGUCUUUUUCUUCUAGAAAAGGGAAUGAUCCUGAAAGAAGAACAAAAGAUGAACAUGCCAGUUAUGUGGAUGCGAUGUGUGAAAUUGCUGAAUCUCUUCAACUUUCAAGAAACAUUGUCAUGGCUCUCUUAGCCCUGGAAUCAUGGAAAGCAUUUAUGGAACGCUGGUUAAAGUCUGAAGUUUUUUCCUUUGAUGUUAGAGAUACUGCAGUUAUCUCAGAGAAAACAUGUAAAGCUGCUAAUGCAAUUUUGAAGAGUAUAAUACAUGCUGCUGAAGAAGCUUUGCCAAGAUCUGCUGAAAAUAUGGCGCUAGCUAUUGGUGCACUUUGUAUGGUCUUGCCUCAGGCUGCCCAUGCUGUGAAGUCAACUGCUGCCAAGUAUCUGUUAAAUUGGUUGUUCCAGCAUGAGCAUGAGCAUCGUCAAUGGCCAUCUGCAAUAUCCCUUGGAAUAAUCUCCAGAUGUCUGCAUGUCACUGAUCAUACAUUGAAAUUUCAGAACAUCUCUGGACUUCUAGAGGUUUUAAGCGUUAGCAAAAGCACCCUCGUUAAAGGAGCUUGUGGAGUUGGAUUAGGCUAUUCUAGCCAUAAUCUUCUUUCCGGGGUUGAAAUUGUUGACAAAUCUAAUUUGGUUAAAGACAAGCAGACAUCCAGGAUUGAGGAUGUAGAGUUGCUAGGAACAAUAGUUAGGGCUUUGUCUUUGAUGAUAUGUCAGCUCACUGGAUCUUCUACAGACAUGUUGGAAGAUCUCUUUACAUUGUUCCCAGUGCACUCUUUCGAUAUCAGUGUAGAUGCCCACCUGUUGCAUGAGAAUGGUGAUUUUGAAGAUGUCUGGGGUGUUGCUGGACUAAUUCUAGGUCUGGGUAACACCAUCGUUGCAAUGUACAAAGCUGGGACAUAUAAUGCUGUCCUGGAGAUUAAAAGAUUGAUUUCCUCGUGGAUGCCUCACGGAAAUUCGGUACUUCAGUACUCUGAUUCAUUCGAUGACAAUUCUGUUAGAAUUCUCUCUGUUGGAUCCUGUCUUGCACUACCAGCCGUCAUGACUUUUUGUCAUCGAUUCGAGUUGAUGAAUGGCGAUGAACUGGGCCAUCUAAUAAAUGUCUAUAAGGAGACUAUUUCUGAACUGUUAUCUGUUAAAAAAUCUACUACAUCCCAUCAGAAUUUGUUGAUGGCAUCAUGCAUAGGAGCAGGAAACCUCCUUGCCGGCAUUUUAAAUGAGGGGGUUUGUUCUAUUGAAGUUGGAUGUGUCCAAGACUUGCUGGAGUUAUUUAGAAGAUGUUAUUCUAAUCCGUACAGUCCUUUGAUUCAUUUUGGGGGAAUGCUUGGAGUAGUAAAUGCUAUGGGAGUGGGUGUCGGAAGUUUAUUCGAUGUGCAUCCUACAACAUCAUCAGUUCAAAUUGAACAUGACCUAAAGGAAUCUUCUCAUCUUAUGGGUCCACUACUUUCAAGUCGUGUUUGUGAGCCACUGUUGACAUCAGUGAUGCAAGAGAUGUAUCUUGUUGCACAGAAUUCUGAUGACAAAAAAUUGCAGCAAUAUGCUGCAUGGGCAGUUUCAUUCCUUAGACAUAAUAUUUGGUCAAAGAAAUCUCCAAACAUUCAGAACUUAAAUGAGACAGAUGAAUCUGGUUCAAGAUCUAUACCUCAAAAUUUCCAAGUGGAUGGUGUAGUAAUGAGGCUAUGCAAUUGGCUAAAGCAGCUUAAUCUUUCAGGGACAGGUCCAGCUACAUAUAUUGACACUUUAGUAACCAUACUACGGUGCCUCUCUCAAGCUCCCAGAUUGCCGUCCUUGGACUGGGGAGUAAUCAUCAGGCGCUGCAUGAGGUAUGAGGAUCAAGUUGCUGAAUCGCAGCCACAAAGUUCUGCUCUUAGAAAGGGCAUUCUAAGGGAGGAAUGCUUGAAGUUCUCACUAGCGCAUGCAAACCAAUUCGACCAACUGCUUAUUUUUCUUGAUGAGCUUUCUGACAUCUCCAGGUUCAGAACACUUGCGCUGAAUCUGCAGUCAUGUUUGCUUAUUCAUCUCGCAGGUCUCAUGAACGUGUUCUCUAAUUCGAGGGUCGAAAAACUUUUCAAUGACAUGAAGAACUACUUGUUUUCUUCUUACUCCAACAAACUCCAGUACAAUUAUGAGAAGCAUUUACUAUGCAUCUCGUGCUGGAAGGGCCUCUACCAAUGUCUUGAAGAGGCUUCUCUCAAUUCUCUAGAGUGCAUAUCUCAUAUUGAAAACUUCAUGGAGGUUCUUUUUAUCAUGUUACCUACAUCGCCCUCCAUUACCGACACAGAAGUAGAUGAGGUACACUCCACAAAAGAGUGGUCCGAGGCAAUACGAUGCCUUGGCAAGGCACGGCAGGCAUGGCUGCUGGACUUCCUUCAGGUCUCAUCAGAGGAUCUUGUACUAAAAGAUGAGAAGUUUUUUGAAGUUCUUAAGAAGAUGAAAGCCAAAGCCAAACUAACCAGGAACGGUUCUCUUCCACUGAGCGAGCUAGGAAAACUGAAAAUCCUGAUGCUGAACUUGAAAUUGCAAGAUGUGUGGGAUGUACUGGUGGAGGUUGUAGCAGCUCUUCAACUUGCAGAGGGAAAUGUCAAGAGACAAUGGCUGGUUGAUACUGUGGAAAUUAGCUGCGUCUCAGUUCAUCCUUCCACGGCACUGCAUUUUCUUGGUUUACUAUCAGGUAGCUUCUCCAAAUACAUGCCUUUACUGAUUUUGGAACCUCAUGCCGUGCUGAAGGAUCUACCUGUGACCCUCAAUUCUCUUAUAUCCACAUCUGGCUGGGGUUACAUUGCAGAGCCCAUCGCUUCCCAUCUCCUCGCCUCGACUGAACGGAUUCUAAAUACGAACAGUAUACAUAGCUCCCAACCUAUUGAUGAAAGUGAAACUGAUACAGCUAUUUCUCUGUUACAUGUGAUGCAUAAUACCUGCGUUUCUUUGAAGGAAUUCUUGCCAUUGGAGGAGCAGCUUAGGGUUGCAAACAUGAAUAUCAUCACUCAGCAAAGAGGGUGAUUUUGAAAUUGAUCACCAAAUUUUGUUGAACAUAUUGCCGAACAGCUGAAAUUUUGGAUGUGGAAGGUUUUAGGUUUGAAGUUACAAAAGUACGUUAAAUUUAUUUUUGAAUCCUGAUAAUAACAACCUAAAAAAUAAUAAAAAAAUAAUAUUUGAUUCAACUAGUCUGGAGAAUUAGAGACUCCUUUUCUUUAUA
RNA transcript from Cucurbita maxima (winter squash), 5826 nucleotides. It is a transcript of the gene named protein RST1, with no coding region annotated. The transcript has 26 exons. NCBI's taxonomy places the organism in Eukaryota, Viridiplantae, Streptophyta, Magnoliopsida, Cucurbitales, Cucurbitaceae. The record is from RefSeq and is a predicted model, not a curated record.